Non-coding RNA from Arachis ipaensis, 737 nucleotides. Lineage: Eukaryota; Viridiplantae; Streptophyta; Magnoliopsida; Fabales; Fabaceae. The record is from RefSeq and is a predicted model, not a curated record.
AUUUCUAAGUAUUUGUUUUUACUUUCGAUUUUGUCAAAUUUAUCAUGGUUUUAGUCAAUGAAUCUUUCUCUAAGUGUUGUUUAUGUAUGUUCAACUUUAAUUUGUGGGAAUUGGGAAUUGUUUCUUUCAUUAACUGUUCUGUUUCUUUGUUUAUCAGUGCCUUGUAUUAACUCCAUCUUGUGAAGGCAGAGAAAGCUAGAAGAUACAUUCCAAGAGAAUUCAAAUUGGCUGAAGCUUUUGGCUAGCUAUGAGGACAGUCCCGCCGGUGUCUUUGACGAGGCUCAACCAGUGAAUGUUCCAACUAGUUUUAAGUAGAGGGCAAUGCUGGUGGAUGAGAUUUGGCAUGCUGCAGGUGACAAUGCUUAUGAUAUUGAUUGGUAUGCCAAGCGCACUGUCCUGGCAGGAAUAUACUCAACAACCGAGAUUUAUAUGCUGACAGAUACAUCUCCUGACUUCCAUGAUACAUGGGCCUUCUUGGAUGCUCGAGUGAAAGAUGCUUUUGAUCUAAAGAAAACCAUUCAAGAGGUAAUUCUGAUUCUGUCUGUCGAGUUUUGGAACCUUCUCAUAUUAACAUGACGAGUAUACCUAAUUUCUGCUUAAAUUGUUUCCUGAAAUUUGAUCUCUACCUACUUGCAUUGCAUCCUGCAUUGCCAAUUGGUUAGAUUCCUUUCUCCCUUUUGCAUGGUAAUUCAAUGGUUUCUUUUGCCUUUUUUUUUUUGUUUCUUUUUUGCAAAAGA